AUCCAUCUGACGAGUCCCAAAAUAAGACGAAACGCACGUCCUAGAU
Schistosoma rodhaini is the source of this 46-nucleotide non-coding RNA. The record is from Rfam. NCBI's taxonomy places the organism in Eukaryota, Metazoa, Platyhelminthes, Trematoda, Strigeidida, Schistosomatidae.